Molecule: ribosomal RNA, 253 nt
Filed under: uncultured bacterium
Lineage: Bacteria
Description: partial 16S ribosomal RNA
Rfam family: Bacterial small subunit ribosomal RNA
Source: RNAcentral
UACGGAGGGGGCUAGCGUUGCUCGGAAUCACUGGGCGUAAAGCGCACGUAGGCGGCUUUCUAAGUCAGGGGUGAAAUCCUGGAGCUCAACUCCAGAACUGCCUUUGAUACUGGAGAGCUUGAGUCCGGAAGAGGUGAGUGGAACUCCGAGUGUAGAGGUGAAAUUCGUAGAUAUUCGGAAGAACACCAGUGGCGAAGGCGGCUCACUGGUCCGGUACUGACGCUGAUGUGCGAAAGCGUGGGGAGCAAACAGG